This is an RNA transcript of Populus nigra (black poplar), 1644 nucleotides long. RefSeq lists it as uncharacterized. Lineage: Eukaryota; Viridiplantae; Streptophyta; Magnoliopsida; Malpighiales; Salicaceae. The record is from RefSeq and is a predicted model, not a curated record. The transcript has 3 exons.
AGCAGCAGUAGGGUAGCUGCAAGGAGGAAUGAAAGAAAAGAAAUGUGGGGUUGUUUCCGUCGCGAGUAAGCGAAAUAAUGCGCGCCUUUGGAAUCCCAAUAGACUCCAACUUUUGCUCCUCUUAUCCUUGUCUCUUGCUGCUCCCACCCUCUGUUAGCGUUACCAGCACCAACGCCAACACCGAACUCUCUUCCUUCUCUCCUAAAUUCUUCGCAAACCUUAGCUCACAAACAAAGCACCGCCUUCUCUCUCACUUCCGACCCAUCCCUCAUUGUGCCAAUUCCGGGUCAACGUUUUUGGACGACGACGAUGAUUAUCACGACAAUGAUACUGAUGAUGAUGGGUAUUAUUCGUAUGUAGGUGAGGAGGAGGAGGAGGAGGUGUCAGAAGACAGUGUGAGUGAGGAUGGUGUUUUUAUAGAGAUAAAGAAGCUUCAAAAGAACUCGAGGAGGAUUCGGUCCAAGAUUUCCAUAAAUGCUAGCCUUGACACUGUGUGGAAGAUAUUAACUGAUUAUGAGAAGUUGGCUGAUUUCAUUCCCAGUCUUGCUGUCAGUGAAUUAAUUGACAAGAAAGACAAUUUCGCUCGUCUUUAUCAGAUUGGACAGCAAAACUUGGCAUUUGGACUGAAAUUUAAUGCAAAAGCAAUUUUGGAUUGUUACGAGAGAGACCUUCAGACGUUUACUUUGGGGAAAAAACGUGAUAUUGAAUUUAAGAUGACGGAAGGUGACUUUCAGUGUUUUGAAGGAAAGUGGUCUAUUGAACAGGUACAAAUUAUCUGUUUCUCUGUUGUUUAGCAUCUCUAUAUUUGCAGGCUAUAAUUUCAUAUAUUUGAGAUUCAAGCUCCUUGGAAUAUAAUAUGAAAAUCUAUCCAAGUUAGUACAGUUUUUUCUAGGAGUGCUGACUUCAGAUUUGCAGCAUUAAGCAAGAUAUAGGAUGUGCUUUUCUUGCUUACCCUGGAAAAGAUUACAGCUGACAUGUUUGAAGAACUGAGGUUAUAGAACUCCAUAAAUAGAUACUUCCCUGAAAUGAUUGAACCAAGAAUUUAGUAACAUGUUGAAUCAAUUUUUUUACUGGAGCAUGUUGAGAUACUAUGUACAAAGCAUGUUGAGUCGGUGGAAGAGCCAGGGGAGGCCGGUUGAUGCCAAGGAGAGUGUCAAGGAAAAGAUAGAGGCAAGGAGCGUUUCAUACCCGGCUAGCUCAUUUAGAUGAGGAGCAGAAGAAAGGGAAAGAUUGACUGAAAGGCUGAAUUGAAUGUCCCAUUAUCUCAUCGGUGCUAGCCGCGAUAUGGAUGAAAUGUAAGAAGAUUCGAAUAAGGAGAAUUCCCUCUAAGCUGAAGCAAACACUCUCAACAGCAAGCCGAUCGAGUAGGAAGAGUAACAGCUAGGACUUAGGGCUUAGGAACAGCUGGCACAAAGUUAGCCGAUGCUUCCAUGUCAUUGCUUCUUCUCCGGGGAAAGAUGCUAUGUACAAACUCCUGAGCACACACAUAAGCACCAGAUGAAAUCCAUAACCCAAUGGAUAAAGGUUUUGGGUUAAUAUUUGGAGUCUGAUGCAUAUAUGCAACUCCACUCUGUGACUCCUCCCUGGUUCCUCUGCAGUUAAUGACAACUGGGCAUUCCAGCCAGUGUUUAAAGUUUUUUGACU